RNAcentral lists this ribosomal RNA (253 nucleotides) under uncultured bacterium. RNAcentral's name for it is "partial 16S ribosomal RNA". It matches the Rfam family "Bacterial small subunit ribosomal RNA", at positions 524 to 776 of the family's 1533-position model. The record is from RNAcentral.
UACAGAGGUCUCAAGCGUUGUUCGGAUUCAUUGGGCGUAAAGGGUGCGUAGGCGGCGCGGUAAGUCGGGUGUGAAAUCUCGGAGCUUAACUCCGAAACUGCAUUCGAUACUGCCGUGCUUGAGGACUGGAGAGGAGACUGGAAUUUACGGUGUAGCGGUGAAAUGCGUAGAUAUCGUAAGGAAGACCAGUGGCGAAGGCGGCUCUCUGGACCGUUACUGACGCUGAGGCGCGAAAGUCAGGGGAGCAAACGGG